AGUGAACGCUGGCGGUAGGCCUAACACAUGCAAGUCGAACGGCAGCACAGUAAGAGCUUGCUCUUACGGGUGGCGAGUGGCGGACGGGUGAGGAAUACAUCGGAAUCUACUUUUUCGUGGGGGAUAACGUAGGGAAACUUACGCUACUACCGCAUACGACCUACGGGUGAAAGCAGGGGAUCUUCGGACCUUGCGCGAUUGAAUUAGCCGAUGUCGGAUUAGCUAGUUGGCGGGGUAAAGGCCCACCAAGGCGACGAUCCGUAGCUGGUCUGAGAGGAUGAUCAGCCACACUGGAACUGAGACACGGUCCAGACUCCUACGGGAGGCAGCAGUGGGGAAUAUUGGACAAUGGGCGCAAGCCUGAUCCAGCCAUACCGCGUGGGUGAAGAAGGCCUUCGGGUUGUAAAGCCCUUUUGUUGGGAAAGAAAAGCAGCAGGUUAAUACCCCGCUGUUCUGACGGUACCCAAAGAAUAAGCACCGGCUAACUUCGUG
Molecule: ribosomal RNA, 492 nt
Filed under: uncultured bacterium
Lineage: Bacteria
Description: partial 16S ribosomal RNA
Rfam family: Bacterial small subunit ribosomal RNA
Source: RNAcentral